RNAcentral lists this ribosomal RNA (554 nucleotides) under uncultured bacterium. RNAcentral's name for it is "partial 16S ribosomal RNA". It matches the Rfam family "Bacterial small subunit ribosomal RNA", at positions 355 to 902 of the family's 1533-position model. The record is from RNAcentral.
UGGGGAAUUUUGGACAAUGGGGGAAACCCUGAUCCAGCCAUCCCGCGUGUGCGAUGAAGGCCUUCGGGUUGUAAAGCACUUUUGGCAGGAAAGAAACAGCCUGGGAUAAUACCCCGGGCGACUGACGGUACCUGCAGAAUAAGCACCGGCUAACUACGUGCCAGCAGCCGCGGUAAUACGUAGGGUGCAAGCGUUAAUCGGAAUUACUGGGCAUAAAGCGUGCGCAGGCGGUUCGGAAAGAAAGGUGUGAAAUCCCAGGGCUUAACCUUGGAACUGCACUUUUAACUACCGAGCUAGAGUACGUCAGAGGGGGGUAGAAUUCCACGUGUAGCAGUGAAAUGCGUAGAGAUGUGGAGGAAUACCGAUGGCGAAGGCAGCCCCCUGGGAUGAUACUGACGCUCAUGCACGAAAGCGUGGGGAGCAAACAGGAUUAGAUACCCUGGUAGUCCACGCCCUAAACGAUGUCAACUAGCUGUUGGGGUUUAUUAACCUUAGUAGCGCAGCUAACGCGUGAAGUUGACCGCCUGGGGAGUACGGUCGCAAGAUUAAAACUU